Arachis stenosperma is the source of this 2089-nucleotide long non-coding RNA. RefSeq lists it as uncharacterized. The record is from RefSeq and is a predicted model, not a curated record. Lineage: Eukaryota; Viridiplantae; Streptophyta; Magnoliopsida; Fabales; Fabaceae. The transcript has 4 exons.
UCCAAGCAUAGCAGCCGCCACCCUUUCUUCUUCCCUUCAGCAAACCUGCAACCCAAUGAAGGAAAUAGAAACAGAAAAUCAGAGGUGAACUGAGACUGAGUCGCGAGAGAAGGGAGGAGGAGAGGAAGGGGAUUCGCGCCGGCGUGCUGGGCUCCGCCGCCGCCGUCGCGUCGUCGCUGUCACUGAAGCUUCGCGCCGCUGUCCAACCGCCGUGCCUCGCCGACAGUUGCUGCUCAUCCUCAUCGCGAACAGAGGAAACGCGAGACCGAGAGGGAGAGUCGCGCGGAGAGGGACUCGCCGCUCCUUCCCACCGCCGUCGAGCUGCCCUUGAUGACGUGUGUCACCGCAGUUGAGGGUGUCGCCACCACCAAACCCGGGCCGAAGAUGCUUCCACUGAACGCGAGAGGAAGAAGAGCGAUGAGGCAGAGCGCGUCCUCGCCGGAGCUCUUGAGCGCCGCCGUCGUUCGUGCCUCCUCCCGCCGCCAAAUCUGCUCCCACUUCUGGGUUCUGGAAUCUGACCCGGACGCCGCUGCCACCAUCCGAGCUCGCCGCUGCUGAUGAUGGUAAGCCCAAACCGCCGCCGGAAAAAGGUUCUGGCCGCCGCAGGAGUCACUGUCAAAGGGGGACGCUGUGCCUCUGUGUUUCUGACCGCCGGAGAUGGUUCUAUGACUUCCGGGAUCACCGCUGAAGCUCCAAGCAGAGUUUCUGCCACUUGAGACCUUGCUGCCGUCGCCGGAAAUGUUUGCCGUUGACCCACCAGAGUUUCUGGCCGCCGCCGGAGCUGUUGCUGCCGCCGGUUCGAAAUCGCAAUUGCUUCGUUUCGCUAGUUCAUGUUGCUAUGGUUAUUGCGAACGUGACUGGGAGCUGAGGUUUUGGUUGCCGUCAGUUUGGGAUGAGGCGGAAAGGACUCUAUGAGACGUUUGGAUUAUGGAAUUGCGUUUUGAGGAUAUGGGCGCAGAAGUUACGAAGAAUUUAUUUAGUUAUUGUUGUGAUGUUCUGUAUUGCUUUGGAUUAUUAAUUAUUGUACCCUCGCCUUUAUCUUGAUAUAUUCUAUAAGAGGGAUAGGAAUUGUAUUGGUUAAUGUCUGUAAUAUUAUUUAUAUAUAUACGUAUGUAUAUAUAUGGAUGUACUCUUUAUGAGUUUCUGUAAGUUGUAUGGUAUGUAUGGAUGUUCGUUGUAUAGCAAAGGUGUUUUUUUUGGAAGCGGUAUUGCGGUUUAAAGUUUAAAACAGGCUCAUAUUUUAAUAUUAAAUAGUAUAAGUGUCGUCGUAAUGUCCGAGCUAUCAGAGUUGCGCAGCCGGAAGCGUGAGCUUUGGUAGUUAGGGUGUUACAUUAUGGUAUCAGAGCGGUUCUUCCUGUAGAGCCUGAGGAAUGGACUUACUAUGCUUCAAUUGCAUACUCUGAGCGCUUGUCAUGCAUUAGGUCUUGUCGAAUGACGAGAAUUAGAGCUUUAUGCACAUGACGGUCUAUUGAUUAACGCUGUUAGUCUUACAUUGCAUAAUUCUUGGUAUUAAGUUUGGCCGGCUUAAUACUAGUGACUUGUGUAUAUGAAAGCACUAAUGGGUUAUCAUAGAUGAAAUACGAGUUUCGAGUAAAGCCAAUCGCGGGUUUUGGGAACGUUAGAAACUAUUUUCUCGAGGCUAUUCAGUUGUGUGUUUUGGAUUUUGUUCGAGUCGACCUGUUCUUUCAUAGCCUAACUUGAAGUUCUUGUUUGCUACUUCCCUUGAAAAGUAGUUUGAUGUUUCUACUCUAUUCCUUUAUUCAUAUGCAUUCUUGUUUGAUCCUAAGUGCAUAUGCUUGUUUGAGGUCCUUGUUGUAUCUAUCUUUCUCUGUAUGAGUUCCUUUUUGAUUCACGUAUCCUUUGAUAUAGCAUUGAACUUGUCUUAAUGCACUGUGCCUUUUUGAGUCCGGAUUCCGAGUCCAUUCUUAUAGAAAUUGUUGAUUCAGUUUUUCUCUUACUUGAUAGUGAUUACGGCCAAUUUUGAGAUUUUAUAAAUUGCUGUUGAUUAGAUAUAUACUUUUCUAUAUAUGAGACUUUGAAAUUAUUUAUACAGUUUAACAACUAUUUCUUGCUAAUAUCUUGCUUGUAC